Molecule: ribosomal RNA, 253 nt
Filed under: uncultured bacterium
Lineage: Bacteria
Description: partial 16S ribosomal RNA
Rfam family: Bacterial small subunit ribosomal RNA
Source: RNAcentral
GACGGAGGGUGCGAACGUUGUUCGGAAUUACUGGGCGUAAAGCGCGUGUAGGCGGCAGCGUGUGUCGGGCGUGAAAUCCCACGGCUCAACCGUGGAAGUGCACUCGAAACUGCGCAGCUAGAGUCCUGGAGAGGAAGGUGGAAUGCUUGGUGUAGAGGUGAAAUUCGUAGAUAUCAAGCGGAACACCGGUGGCGAAGGCGGCCUUCUGGACAGUGACUGACGCUGAGACGCGAAAGCUAGGGUAGCAAACGGG